GUUAUAAAGAACAUCCUGAUGAUCAGAGCUGUUUGACAGAGGAAUAUCUCAAAGCCUAGUAACCCAGUGGAGUCUCUGGAGGGGUUUCAACAGAGACUGGAUGGCCAUCUGUUGGGAGUGCUUUGAUUGGAUGUUCCUGCCUGGCAGAAUAGGGAUCUAUCCUAGAAACUCUAGGAUUCAAUGAACAUUGAGUCUAAGGACGUGAGCUUUGUCCAAAGAAAAAAGCAACCCCAUCCACCCGAGAGACACAUGGGGAAACAUGUUAUAUAGAAAUGCCGAAGCAUUUGUAACCAUAGAAAACAACUGUUGGAUGAAGAUAUGAUAUAUCAAUAGCACCUGGGUAAUGACUGUGUCAUGAUGCAAUACCUAAGGGUGUGUGGUAAUGGCCGGGUCAUAACCACGUAUGGGUAACUGCAAAGGGGUUGCAUCAGCCAUUGUCUCUUACUGAUGACCUAUCAAGGAAGAUGAAAGAAUCCAUCUUUCUCUCUCCCGUGUGACUCGGUCUUGCAGUGGUUCAGGGAGGUUGUGAUUUGGAAACUAGAAAUCACUUCUUGUACCAGCAUCCUGCGACAGGCAUGUGCUUCAUGAUGGGCAAGAGACCUCAGGUGGGAAGCCUUCUGGUAGAAAACACUGACCCGACUUCGCCCAGGCAGCUGCCUUUGCAUUAAUCCGGAGCUGAUGAAGACGGAUGAGCCAGAAGGAGCCAUAAACUUGCCUGCGUCGGCGUCAGGGUUUGUUAUUUUUCAACGAGGAAACAGCCAGAUACGGAGGAAAACGCUCAUCUCUUCACUGCUGUCAAGACGGAUUAACGUGGGGUUUCCAUGGCUCUGCCUGAGCCAGCCCUGGGGCCACAAGGAGACGUGAUCGAUUGCGAUCAAUUGCGCACGGACCCCUGUGCGCACCUGCUGGAGAGGCUCUUCCGAGAAACCGGCAGCCGAGGUCCCAAACAACACGCAAGAGACCUUUCUUUCUUGCCACAGCCGUCCCCUGCUACAUGUCCUAUAUCUAGAAAACAGAGAACGGUCGGCAUGGUUCGUCAAGGAGUGCACAGGUUUCAUUAGGCGCUAAUAAAUGUUGCUCCCACUGCAACAGAUUUCA
Molecule: long non-coding RNA, 1098 nt
Organism: Anolis carolinensis (green anole)
Lineage: Eukaryota; Metazoa; Chordata; Lepidosauria; Squamata; Anolidae
Exons: 2
Source: RefSeq, a predicted model, not a curated record